GAUGAACGCUGGCGGCGUGCCUAAUACAUGCAAGUCGAGCGAACGGACGAGAAGCUUGCUUCUCUGAUGUUAGCGGCGGACGGGUGAGUAACACGUGGAUACCUACCUAUAAGACUGGGAUAACUUCGGGAAACCGGAGCUAAUACCGGAUAAUAUUUUGAACUGCAUGGUUCAAAAGUGAAAGACGGUCUUGCUGUCACUUAUAGAUGGAUCCGCGCUGCAUUAGCUAGUUGGUAAGGUAACGGCUUACCAAGGCAACGAUGCAUAGCCGACCUGAGAGGGUGAUCGGCCACACUGGAACUGAGACACGGUCCAGACUCCUACGGGAGGCAGCAGUAGGGAAUCUUCCGCAAUGGGCGAAAGCCUGACGGAGCAACGCCGCGUGAGUGAUGAAGGUCUUCGGAUCGUAAAACUCUGUUAUUAGGGAAGAACAUAUGUGUAAGUAACUGUGCACAUCUUGACGGUACCUAAUCAGAAAGCCACGGCUAACUACGUG
RNAcentral lists this ribosomal RNA (496 nucleotides) under uncultured bacterium. Its description in RNAcentral is "partial 16S ribosomal RNA". It matches the Rfam family "Bacterial small subunit ribosomal RNA", at positions 28 to 507 of the family's 1533-position model. The record is from RNAcentral.